Molecule: transfer RNA, 73 nt
Filed under: Thermoplasmatota archaeon
Lineage: Archaea; Methanobacteriati; Thermoplasmatota
Description: tRNA-Asp
Rfam family: tRNA
About the family: Transfer RNA (tRNA) molecules are approximately 80 nucleotides in length. Their secondary structure includes four short double-helical elements and three loops (D, anti-codon, and T loops).
Source: RNAcentral
GCCCUGGUAGUGUAGUGGCCGAUCAUGUGGCCCUGUCGAGGCUGCGACGCGGGUUCAAAUCCCGUCCGGGGCG